RNAcentral lists this transfer RNA (64 nucleotides) under marine eukaryotic metagenome. It matches the Rfam family "tRNA", at positions 6 to 65 of the family's 71-position model. Rfam says of the family: Transfer RNA (tRNA) molecules are approximately 80 nucleotides in length. Their secondary structure includes four short double-helical elements and three loops (D, anti-codon, and T loops). The record is from RNAcentral.
CCCGUAGCUCAGCAGGUAGAGCAACUGACUUUUAAUCAGUAGGUCCCAGGUUCGAAACCUGGCG